AGAAAAUAUUCAGUGGGAAGCAAACACCACAUCUGACGUGGUGUGCAUGUCUCAUUUAUUGGUUGACACCUGAUCACUAAAAUCUCAAUCAGUCAAAUUUUAGUUUAGGUUUUAAAUGGCUCACAAAAUUUUAGUUUCCCAGAGAAAGUUCAAAUUUUUAAUUUCCCAUGAUAGUCUCUCGUCAAAAGUAGCUGUCAAGGAUUUCACCUCUUCCUCCUAAACCAAAUCCAGACCAAGAUUGAUUCUGCCACCGGUUUUCUGCUCUGACUAGGAUCGAUCUACAUGGAUUCAAGAGAUUUAUCUUUCUAGCUGCAUAUUUGGAUCUUGACAUCUUCGCCAUCGCUAUCAUCUUCCUCAACUCGACGUCGAUAUCGACUCCUCCUCUGUCGAAGGUGUCGAGGUUCUACAAUUGCAGGUUUUGAACCCUAAAUCCUUAUAUAAGCAUGAAUUCAUUGACUCUGUUGGGCACUGCAGUAGCACAACACAUAGAGUCCUCAUAAUAUUUAAUUUCACAUAAGCACAUAGGUUUUGGGUAGCACAUAUAGUACUUGUAAUUUUUGAUAUUUGGAGAUUUGUUCUUGUUGUUGGUUGGGUCCUUGUAAUUUUUGGCUUCCCUUGUACAUUUACUUGAAUCAUUGAGAGCAAUAUUUGGAGAUUUGUUCCUACUGUUGGUUGAGUCCUUUUAAUUUUUGGUUUCCCUUGUACAUUUACUUGAAUCAAUGAGAACAAUAUUUGAUCAUAUUAGGUGUAUAUGAUCAAGUCAGCUGCUUCAUC
This is a long non-coding RNA of Tripterygium wilfordii, 774 nucleotides long. RefSeq lists it as uncharacterized. The transcript is spliced from 2 exons. NCBI's taxonomy places the organism in Eukaryota, Viridiplantae, Streptophyta, Magnoliopsida, Celastrales, Celastraceae. The record is from RefSeq and is a predicted model, not a curated record.